GCUGACACAUCCCUGCCAAUCUCCGGCAGACCCUCCCUCCCAGGCCCUCCCACCUCCUGGACAGCAUCCAUGUUGAAGCUGCCUUCAACAUGGAUGCUGUCCAGGAAGUAGGAGGGUCUGGGAGGGAGGGUCUGCUGGAGAUUGGCCGGGAUGUGUCAG
Non-coding RNA from Pelobates cultripes (western spadefoot toad), 159 nucleotides. The record is from the annotation of a GenBank genome assembly. Lineage: Eukaryota; Metazoa; Chordata; Amphibia; Anura; Pelobatidae.